Molecule: non-coding RNA, 58 nt
Submitted as: unclassified sequences
Source: Rfam
ACAAUGAUACUUCCGUACGUGGCUGGCGACGAAACAGGCAGGGGCGAGAGGCCCAUGG